Homo sapiens (human) is the source of this 4118-nucleotide long non-coding RNA. Ensembl annotates it as long intergenic non-protein coding RNA 1015. The record is from Ensembl. Lineage: Eukaryota; Metazoa; Chordata; Mammalia; Primates; Hominidae.
AUCUCAGGAGUAGGCUCUGAUUCCUUGGGGCCCCAGGAGCCUCUCAGGAGUCUACAUCCCAAGAUGUUCUAACUUCCAGAGUCUCCAAGCCCAUCAAGAGCAAGUUUUGCUAAAAGUGUUCUGAGAGCUUAUGAAGCACAUGGUGAGUGGUCAGUCCCUCAGCUCUUCCCCAGAGGCCCUGGGUCCCAUGGGGUUAGCAGGGACAGGGGAAGCCUGGGGCUGGUGAGAGGCCAACUUCCAGCCAGGGCUUGAUCUGGUUUUCAAUGGAUUCAAAGUUUGGCCUCCUUUUCCUUACCUGGAGGGGACAGAGGCACUGGGACCAGGCCAAGCUCUGGCUGAGCCAGGGCUAGGGGAAGUACAUCCACUGGGGGCCCAUGCCAUGGGGAGGUGUUGGGGCACAGCCACCACUGUUCUACCUCUUGGGGAAGGGUCUGCAGUGGGGUCUGGAAUACAGAGGUUUUCACGGAAGCCCAGGGGACCCUGAACACUUCUAUUCCUUCUAUCAGGACAAGGAAGGGUUGUGCAUCCGGCUUUCCACCUUAAACUGGUUUCUAUGGUGCUUCAUCGAUGAGAUAAGGAUGCAUAGGAGACCCCAGGCCAGGUACCUCCUUUCCCCACAGUGCUCAGCUCCCCCAGCCCAGGGGUCUGGCUUCCCCAGGAGGACCCAGCUCACCCCCACCCCACAGGAGGCACAGGCAGGUCUCUGCAGGGCACACAAGCCAGGACCUGUAUGAUGGGAGCUUUACACACCAGACACCAGGGAAUUCUGGGCAGACUGGGCCAAGACCCAUCUUGGAAGAGCCAAAGGAGCCAGGGAAGCCACAAGCCCUCAGGAAGCCCCUUAUUCUGGGAACCACAUUUCUGCUGAGAUGAGUCCAUCCCCAUGAAGAGCUGCCGGACCUUGUCUGACCCAGCCUUAUGGAAGAUUGGGUGGGUCUCUUCCCAAGCAGAGGGAGCCUCAGGAAGUCCAGACUGAGGCUACAGUGGGCCCUGCUCAAGCCACCAGCCCCGAGGUUGGAAAGGCCAGGUCCUCCCACACCUGCUGUUCCCACAGACUUCCUUCAUGCUCAUCCUGUGGCUCUGGGAUGUCUACCUACUGGGAGGUGAGUGUGUGGUGACAACUAUGGUAUACAUGGCCUUCACAGCCACAGAAUUAAGUCCCUGGGUGGCCAAUGGUGCCCAGAAGGAGCAUGCAGGACAGACCCUGGGACCUAUAGCCAGGACAGAUUCCUGGCUUCUGGUGUGUGAUGACCUGAGAGCAGCAUCCACACUGUCCAGAUGGCUCUCUGCUCCAGCCUGGAGGUAGGGCCAGACCAGGCCUGGUGGGCUGGGCAGGGAGUGGACCCAGGUACCAAACCCACUCCUGACACAACCCAGAUGAAAGGCAAGAGUGUGUUGAGCACUUCCCUGCCCAGGCCUUCCUCCAGCUGUGGUUUUCUGUGAACAUCUGGACCCCUGGGGCAGCCACAGUAGGAUCCAGCACCGCCCAGUGGUGGGUGCCUGGGGCAGGAACAAGGUGCAGACACUGACUCUCCCACAGACCCCUCCCAGCCUCAUAGUCACCCUGUCCCUAGAACACCCCCUGAAGCUGUUCCUGUUUGGCUUGCAGGAGUUCCUUCAGGACACACUGUCCUAGGCCUGGGCCCUGGAGGAGGACAUGGUGAUGAGGCACCCUGAGGCCUCCAUGGGGGAACUGAGAAGCAUGCACUGUGACCUGCACACCCAGGUGGGCUUCAGCACCAAGUCUCCUCCUGUGUCACCCUGCGGGGCAGUAAAUAGUGGGAAGUGCCCAGACCUCACCAGCCCUGCUCCCUGGGCCUUCCUCCAGCCCCUCCUCUCCCUCCUCCUCUAAGAAGCUUCUGAAACCAGGCUGCCUGAGCCUAGGGCAAAAGCUGACCUUGGGUUUACUGGACAUGCCUCAGAGACAAUGAGACGUGAGCAAGACUCUUCCAAGCCCCUCCCCUGUACCCUCCUGCUCUCACUCCUGAAAGCCCCAGAAGGACACUGGAGGGGUCAGAUCCAUCUGUGCAAGCCCACAACCACACCUGUGAGUACCAGCAGCCCUGGAGAGCAGCAGGGGGCCUUCACUCCUGAGCACCCCUCCAAGGGCCUAAAAUCAGUGUCAGAGACCCUAAGAGAAUCUAGGGAGAGGGCAUAGGUGAAACCCUGGCCCAGAGCCAGAAUUGAUUGCUCAGCUGAGUGUGGGAACAGUCCAGCCCUGGCAUGGAGAUCCCCCAGAGGAGUGGAGGGUGUCUCAUCCACUGUGGAGAUAAGCCCCCAUAUUGCGUGGCAAAGGGGCUAGGUAACAGUUAAGGCCUCAUCCAUCUGAGCUCUGAAUCAAGGCUAAAGCCCAGGCUAAGCAGCCCUGGGGCAAGAGUGUGAGGCAGGAAGACUGAGUCAGCCUGAACCCUGGGGGCUGUCCCUGGAGUGACUUGAGCUUCCCUGACAGCUUCCCCACUCUAGGCUGCACACACACCUCGCUCUGGGAGUAGCAGCCUGCAGGAGUGUCCUCAGCAUUAGACCAGGGGGACCACACGGGGACCCUGAGGACUGCAGGGACCCAGGUCUGUGGGGUCCAGCCUGGCAAAAGCAAGAUGUUCUCAAUGGAAAAGCUGACCAAAUCUGCUUUCCUUUCAGCCAAACCUGAGCAAGCACCCCCACCACCCAGGCCUCUGCAGAUAUCCCCCAGCAUUGAGACCCUCCCCAAGGGGAUGGGCUGCUUCUCCCUGGCCCACAGCCCAGCUCCAGCAGCCCAUGGGUAUAGCCCUCCUGAAACAGGAGCCUCAUCCUCCCUCACCCUCACCUGGCUAUGCUGUACCCAAGGCCAAAGCCCAGAGGCAUAAGGGAGCUUCUGCAGAGCCCAGGACAGCAGGCUGCUCUCUGGGGGCCCUGGGGACUCAGAGUGUGGCCAGCCCAUCCCCAGCUCAGGAUAGACCACAGAGUGCUUGGUGAUUCCUGCAUUGGAACUCCCUCUCUAAGCUCCCCAUGGACCUGGACCUCAGAGGCCUGUGGUUUUCACAGUAGAGCUUGGAGCAGAGAUGCUAGGCCCCUAUCACUUCCAUAUGUGUCCUGGACACCUCUAAGAUCAUAGGACUGGCCUAGCCCCCAAUACCAGACACUGCCCAGCCCCCUGAUAGCCCAGAGGUAGGGCCAGAGACAACUCUCCUGCAUGUGAUGCCUACAGCUGAUCACUCUUGGCAGACAGUGAACAUCACGGCCCAGAAGGAGCCAGGGCAGCACUUGGCAAGCUGCCCCAAAGCCCCAGAGAGCUCCUUAGACAUGGAAAGUCAAUACUGAUGGGGAAGCUGGACACUUGGAGGCCACUGGAGGGAGGGGUGAGCAUGGUGUCCCCACAGCCCAGGCCACCCAGCAGCAUGCCCUGCAUCCAUGGUCCCAACCUGUAGGGCAGAACCCCCCUCUCAACGCACAAUUCCUAGACCCAGAGGGCCCUAGCCCAGACUCAACCUGAGCCCUGAAAGGGAAGGGGCACCAGGGGUGCCUUGGGGCCUCCAGCAGCAGCCAAGAUACACAGGAGAUGGAGCCCCCUGUGGCCCUGGCCAGAACUAGUAUUUGGCUUAAGGCGGAGCAAGCCCCCUUGGAGCACUGCGUACAUACCCGGGGCCUAUGUGUGCCUGGCAAGGCCAAGCUGAUGAUGUUACCAAGCUCAAACUACCACUGGCCACCUUGGUGAGGGUGGGGCAGAAACACGUGGACCAGCCACCAACCUCAUCCAUUCAAGGAAGCAGAAAUGGUCAGGCUCCUGCAGGAUAAGUGGCCACCACCAGACCACCAAUGGGGCAGAGUUCUGAGGCCCAAGCAGAUGGCACUGGGGCCCUGCUUCCAGGGUCCACAAUCUGCUCCAGGACACAAGACUGAAGAAAACUAAGCAAAUGAGAGUCCAGGAGGCUGGAUCCCUCAUCUGCCAUUCUUGGCAGUUGCAUUUUGUGGUCAGAAAAAGUCAGGAAACUUGGCUCUACUCACUGCAGGAGGCUCCAAGGUGGGACCAGAGCUUCCAGCAUAGAUUCAACAAUGCCUAAGAAUGCCUCUUCUUGGGGAAAAGGACCCCUUCCUUGGCCUCAAAGCCCCCACUUAUUUUGAUUAAAGCACAAUAAAGUCUU